CUGGGCAGCAUCAGCAGCAUGCGUGUCCAUCACGCGUGUCCGUCUUAUUUUGCCAUGUGGAGCGGCGCACCACACGCGCACACACACAACUACUACUUGCAUCUCAACUCCUCCCAAGUCUUCACAUCGCAUCGCCCAACUCGACUCCCUCUCUCUUUCUCUCUCUCUCUCUCUGACAGGUGGGCCACCGUCUCCUCCGACUUCUCGCCGUCGCUUGCUCGCCGCCGGUGGUGGUGGUGGUGGGGCGACGGGGGG
This 255-nucleotide long non-coding RNA is filed under the name Oryza brachyantha (malo sina). RNAcentral describes it as "long non-coding RNA (OBRA_LNC002186)". Lineage: Eukaryota; Viridiplantae; Streptophyta; Magnoliopsida; Poales; Poaceae. The record is from RNAcentral.